This 253-nucleotide ribosomal RNA is filed under the name uncultured bacterium. RNAcentral's name for it is "partial 16S ribosomal RNA". It matches the Rfam family "Bacterial small subunit ribosomal RNA", at positions 524 to 776 of the family's 1533-position model. The record is from RNAcentral.
UACGGAGGGAGCUAGCGUUGUUCGGAAUUACUGGGCGUAAAGCGUACGUAGGCGGUUAUUCAAGUCAGAGGUGAAAGCCCGGGGCUCAACCCCGGAACUGCCUUUGAAACUAGGUAACUGGAGUCUUGGAGAGGUCAGUGGAAUUCCGAGUGUAGAGGUGAAAUGCGUAGAUAUGUGGAGGAACACCAAUGGCGAAGGCAGCCCCCUGGGUCAACACUGACGCUCAUGCACGAAAGCGUGGGGAGCAAACAGG